This 1161-nucleotide long non-coding RNA is filed under the name Zea mays. Its description in RNAcentral is "long non-coding RNA (ZMAY_LNC000497)". Lineage: Eukaryota; Viridiplantae; Streptophyta; Magnoliopsida; Poales; Poaceae. The record is from RNAcentral.
AUCCAUCCAAGCACAUUCCAUACAAUAUCAUCACCAAGAACUCAUUUUUAUUACACUAUGCAUAUAAAGUCGCUCUCUCUAUUCACCAAAUAUAUGACAUACAACAUACCAUCACAAGGACAAAAGGGAAAAGAGAGAAACAAGCAUUCCCUGACAACAACCCAUAUUCGCCUAGAACCUUUGAUUAAUCAACAUGAUAGAAUAUAAUGAUGACUAAGACUAAUCUUCAGCUUCAUAAAAAUAAUUGGCUAAUUUACUUGCAAUAACACUACCUCCCUUGUGCAUUCCUCGGCACAACACUACACUAUAUGCCUAUCAAGAGUAUUCAUCCCAUAAUCCUGUAAUAACUCAUCUAAUAUUAUAUCAAAUCAUACAUCUACCUAUCAAACACACAUAUAACCAUAUUACGACAUAUAAGGAGUCAUUUCAUCAAAAAUUCAUAUCGAAGCUAAUCCUAACAACACUCCGAAACAUAAACGACAUACCACUUAAUUUAAUCUUUUUUUCUACGAAUCUCUGAUCUACACCCAGACACACAGUAAUAUUCAUCCCAUAAUCCUGUAAUAACUCAUCUAAUAUUAUAUCAAAUCAUACAUCUACCUAUCAAACACGCAUAUAACCAUAUUACGACAUAUAAGGAGUCAUUUCAUCAAAAAUUCAUAUCGAAGCUAAUCCUAACAACACUCCGAAACAUAAACGACAUACCACUUAAUUUAAUCUUUUUUUCUACGAAUCUCUGAUCUACACCCAGACACACAGUAACAACUUCAAGCUAUAGGUACCGAGUGGGGAAUUAAUGGAGAAGGAACAACGAGUCUCACCAUGAUUAAACCAAACUGCGGAUGCGAUGAUAAAUUCUGAUUCAAACAUUUCGUCAAGCACAAGGUGUGUGAUGCACUAGAGUUCCUUUCUUCUCCACCUCCCAACUCGCACAAAAACAUACGUAUAAACAACAGUAAGGAUUUGAUGCCGGUAGGGAAAUGAGUAGGACAAGAACGACAUGGCCUCACCAGAACAGCAAUAAGGCGACGACGCAAGAUGAGAGUGCCGCGACGGCCCAAGACACGACAAGUCAGGGGAUGGGGCGAGCUGCAGGAGGAAGGGAGUGAUCUGCAGGCACGACCGAAGUUGAAACUGAGCAGAGGAUGGGCGAGCUCGGAC